CCUACGGGUGGCAGCAGUGGGGAAUAUUGGACAAUGGGCGAAAGCCUGAUCCAGCCAUGCCGCGUGUGUGAAGAAGGCCUUCGGGUUGUAAAGCACUUUCAGUGGGGAAGAAAGCCUUGGGGCUAAUACCCUCGAGGAAGGACAUCACCCACAGAAGAAGCACCGGCUAACUCCGUGCCAGCAGCCGCGGUAAUACGGAGGGUGCGAGCGUUAAUCGGAAUUACUGGGCGUAAAGCGCGCGUAGGCGGUCUGAUAAGCCGGUUGUGAAAGCCCCGGGCUCAACCUGGGAACGGCAUCCGGAACUGUCAAGCUAGAGUGCAGGAGAGGAAGGUAGAAUUCCCGGUGUAGCGGUGAAAUGCGUAGAGAUCGGGAGGAAUACCAGUGGCGAAGGCGGCCUUCUGGACUGACACUGACGCUGAGGUGCGAAAGCGUGGGUAGCAAACAGGAUUAGAUACCCCGGUAGU
RNAcentral lists this ribosomal RNA (464 nucleotides) under Vreelandella stevensii. Its description in RNAcentral is "partial 16S ribosomal RNA". It matches the Rfam family "Bacterial small subunit ribosomal RNA", at positions 338 to 794 of the family's 1533-position model. The record is from RNAcentral. Lineage: Bacteria; Pseudomonadati; Pseudomonadota; Gammaproteobacteria; Oceanospirillales; Halomonadaceae.